Molecule: ribosomal RNA, 478 nt
Filed under: uncultured bacterium
Lineage: Bacteria
Description: partial 16S ribosomal RNA
Rfam family: Bacterial small subunit ribosomal RNA
Source: RNAcentral
GACGAACGCUGGCGGCGUGCUUAACACAUGCAAGUCGAGCGAUGAAGUUCCUUCGGGAACGGAUUAGCGGCGGACGGGUGAGUAACACGUGGGUAACCUGCCUCAUAGAGGGGAAUAGCCUUCCGAAAGGAAGAUUAAUACCGCAUAAGAUUGUAGCUUCGCAUGAAGUAGCAAUUAAAGGAGUAAUCUGCUAUGAGAUGGACCCGCGUCGCAUUAGCUAGUUGGUGGGGUAACGGCUCACCAAGGCGACGAUGCGUAGCCGACCUGAGAGGGUGAUCGGCCACAUUGGGACUGAGACACGGCCCAGACUCCUACGGGAGGCAGCAGUGGGGAAUAUUGCACAAUGGGGGAAACCCUGAUGCAGCAACGCCGCGUGAGUGAUGACGGUCUUCGGAUUGUAAAACUCUGUCUUCAGGGACGAUAAUGACGGUACCUGAGGAGGAAGCCACGGCUAACUACGUGCCAGCCGCCGCUGUAA